GUUUGAGCAAAAAGGAAAAGACCGUCCCUUCCGACAGCGCAGCAAAGUGACUAAGUGACUCCGAAGAAAUGAUGGUGAUACUGGAAUUGAUCGUGGACAUCACUUCGGUUCAAGGUUGAAGUUAAAAGGUCUUUUUGAGGCUUAGAAGAAGCAGGUAUUAAGUCAUGAUGCAGGAAUCUGCGACAGAGACAAUAAGCAACAGUUCAAUGAAUCAAAAUGGAAUGAGCACUCUAAGCAGCCAAUUAGAUGCUGGCAGCAGAGAUGGAAGAUCAAGUGGUGACACGAGCACUGAAGUAAGCACAGUAGAACUGCUGCAUCUGCAACAACAGCAGG
Long non-coding RNA from Pygoscelis adeliae (Adelie penguin), 333 nucleotides. RefSeq lists it as uncharacterized. The transcript has 3 exons. Lineage: Eukaryota; Metazoa; Chordata; Aves; Sphenisciformes; Spheniscidae. The record is from RefSeq and is a predicted model, not a curated record.